UCAUUCAAGAGGGUACUACACUGAGCUAGGUAGAUAAUCUGACCUGGUAUCAGGGCACUUCUUAGGUUCAAAGGAAUCAUUGGUGUAGUUGUGAUGUGUGUGUGUGUGUGUGUGUGUGUGUGUGUGUGUGUGUAUGCAGUGGGUCUUCUUCACUCACUUAAUGCUACAGCCUCUCAUGCUCUUGAAAAGCCACUCUUGACAGUGAGGGGAGCUUUUGGAGCACUCUGCAAUAGUAAUAGUAAUUUAUUAUUUGUACCCUGCCCAUCUGGCUGCGUUUCCCCAGCCACUCUGGGCGGCUUACAGCAAAGAAUAAAAAUACAUUAAAAUAUCACACAUUAAAAACUUCCCUGAACAGGGCUGCAUUCAGAUGUCUUCUAAAUGUCAGGUAGUUGUUUAUCUCUUUGACAUCUGAUGGGAGGGCGUUCCACAGGGUGGGCGCCACUACUGAGAAGGCCCUCUGCCUGGUUCCCUGUAGUUUAGCUUCUCGCAGUGAGGGAACCGCCAGAAGGCCCUCAGUGCUGGACCUCAGUGUCUAGGCAGAAUGAUGGUGGAGAUGUUCCUUCAGGUAUACUGGGCCGAGGCCAUUUAGGGCUUUAAAGGUCAACACCAACACUUUGAAUUGUGCUCGGAAAUGUACUGGGAGCCAGUGUAGGUCUUUCAGGACCAGUGUUAUAUGGUCUCGGCAACCGCCCCCCUUCACCAGUCUAGCUGCCACAUUCUGGAUUAGUUGUAGUUUCCGGGUCACCUCAAAAGGUAGCCCCACGUAGAGCACAUUGCAGUAGUCCAAGCGGUAGAUAACUAGAGCAUGCACCACUCUGGUGAGACAGUCUGCGGGUAGGUAGGGUCUCAGCCUGCAUACCAGAUGGAGCUGGUAGGCAGCUGCCCUGGACACAGAAUUGACCUGUGCCUCCAUGGACAGCUAUGAGUCCAAAAUGACUCCCAGGCUGCGCACCUGGUCCUUCAGGGGCACAGUUACCCCAUUCAGGACCAGGGAGUCCUCCAUACCUGCCCGCCCCCUGUCCCCCCAGAACAGUACUUCUGUCUUGUCAGGAUUCAACCUCAAUCCAUUAGCUGUCAUCCAUCCUCCAAAUAUGGGGAAACAGCAGCAGCAGAAUGUAAGAAGAGCCUGCUGGAUCAAGCCAGUAGCCUAUCUAGUCCAGCAUCCUGUUCUCACAGAGACCACCCAGUUGCCUCUGGGAAAGCCUCAAGCAGAACCCAAGCGCAAGAGCACUCUCCACACCUGUGGUUUCCAGCAACUGGAAAUAUUAAAUCUACUCAACUCAACCGUGGAGGAAGAGCACAGCUAUCGUGGCUGAUAGCCUGGUUCUGCAUGAUUUGAAUCUUCUUUCAAAGCCAUCCAAGUUGGUGGCUGUCACUGCCUCCUUAUUUGUUGUGUAAAGAACACCAGAUCAAAUAAUCUAGACACACCAUACAUAACAAUGGGCUCACCCUUGGCAAAUCCAGAUGUAUUUCCCGAUAUCUGAGAGGGGGAAAUAAAUUUGAUUCAGUUUGCAUUUAAAGGGGAGCCUACCUAAGUCAUGCUUUCCAAGAAAAAAUAUGCAAAAACAUAGCUAUCCUUUGAAAUUUGCAUUUCUUUGAAUUUUGCAGUGUAGUUCUCCGCUCCAGGAAUGUGUACAAAAAUGCAUAUGAUGGGGUAAUACAUGCAUAGAAAUUUAUAUAUUAGUGAAAAUAACAUACAAAUGUGCAUUAUAUUUGGGGGAAAUUGCUUUGAAAGAGUAUGCAGAUUAGGUUAAAUUGCAUACAAAGAUGUGCUUGUUAGUAGAAAUUUGUACUAAAAUGAAUUUUCGUUAGGCCUUUUUUAAAAAUAAUAAUGUGGGAAUGUGGAGAACUUAAUUUAAGAUUGGAAAAAGGAGAAACAGUGAAAUCAAAUUGUCAGAUUUGCCCAUUGUUACAAGUAUCUUAAGUUAAAGGGUCUAAGAAAGCAAAUCCUGGGAGGACUUCUACCUGCGAUCCUCGAGAUCAUUUAUGUUAGAUGCUUCUUUCAUCUGAAUCAGUAAGAAUGUUAACGACUUGAUACUUUAUUUGUUCCUGCCUUUCCACUUACCAAAAUAGUGCCUAAAGUGACAAGCAACAAUUAAAUCAAAACAUUUAUAACCACCCCCGCAAAAGAAAGGAGGAACAUAAAACAUAAUUUAAACAGUUGGCUUGGAAUGGCAAAAGGAAUGGAAAUCCCCUCCAAACAAAACUGAUUUCUUGAUUUGGUUGCAGGGAUGGGAUUCACCAAACAAGUCCCGUCAGUGCAAGUUAGGGCUUCUUGCUUGCAAAGCAUUUUAUGGGGUGUUCACCAUAGCACAAUGCAAAACUCCCUGCAGGGUGUUUAUAUGUCUUCCCACUAAUUGUUUUUUCCACUCUGCACUUUCCAAUGCAUUUUCCCAUCACUUUCCUAGCAGCAAAAAGUCACCUUCCUUUGGAUUUGCUGUGGCGGAGCAUUAGAGCACUUCAAUCUGCUUUAAUUAUGAUUAUGAAUUGUUGUGGCCCUGGGAUUCCUAUUGCAUAUGAUGCACUCAAGGGGUUAGUUGGUUGGUUGGUUUAUUUUUGCAUUUAAUUGCUAUGCUGUUUCUGAAUCAUUGAAAGCAUCUGACUUUUGACACCUCAAAGGCAAGGGUCAGCUUGCAGUAAGCAUGUGUUCCGAUGUGCUUUAUUGCUAAAUUACAAAGAACAUGCAAUCUUUCAUUUUAUUCAAUACAAAUCAUUUUUUUUUUAUUUACUUAAAAGAAGGCAAGCUGUCUUAGUUAUAUGUGCUUGGCUUGGAAACAAAGGGAUUGUGUUCUUUUUUUAAGAGGUGCUUUAUGGUUGCAGAGAGAAAAUGUAGCCCUUUUAAUGGGACUUUAUAUAUGUGGGAUCCAUGUCUCCACUCGAUUAUAUAUUUCCAAAUAAUAAAUGGGUUUAUGGCGCAGUCAUAUCAUGAAAAUGUAUAGGGGUUGUGUGGGACAUGUGUUUCUGAAACCGGCAUGAAAAGUUUCCUUCUAUUUAAGAGGUGGGGUGUGGAAGGGAAUUUGCUUAUUUAUGAUAGCAGGAUGCACAGGUAUGGGAGGGGAUAUAUGGCUUUAUGAUGGGAAGCCUCUUCUCCAUUGACAAAUUCAGAUGGUUCAGGCACCCCCACCCUAAAUCCCAUGAACUUCCCCCCACCCUUAUAGUUUGGUUAUUUGUUGUAAUUACCAGGUCCAUUUUUGUCUUUAAUAGAUGUGAUUAGUAUAUUUAGCACCAUCUAAUGGGUUUUCUGCCUGGUUGCAUCCCAGCUAAUAUGGAAUCCCUCGGAGUACCUUCUGACAGCUGCUCAGAAUCCCAGGUUGGCGCAGUCGCUAGAGACUUCUUCCGCAAAUCAGCAACAUUAGGGGAAUUAACUCUGUUAGACUAACCAGAAAAUCCAGGAUGAAAUUUGAUUAUGAAUAGAUCUUGAAUUAACUUUGAGCAGCUCAAAAGACUUGUGGUCUUGGGUUUCUUUGAAUGGGAUUUUGAAAAAUAUCAGGGAUGGAAGUGAAUCUUAUGUUCAGUUCAAGACCGGAUUGAUCUUUAGGUGAAGCUAUAGAGCAGGGAUGGGGAACUUCUGGCCCUCCCGAUGUUGUUGGACUCCCACCAGUCUCAGUCAAUGUGGGUCAGGGAAGUUGGGAGUUGGGGUCUCAGCAACAUCUGCAGGGCCAUGGAUUCUCCACAGCUGUGGCCCUCCAGAUGUUGCCAGACUACAACUCCCAUCAUGCCUGGCCAUUGGCCAUGCUGGCUAGGACUGCCAGACAGAAACACACGCAGAAAGCGUGAAGCAGGCUGGUGAGGGGUGUGGACUGGGAGGGUCCAGAGUGCCAGAUAAUGAAGCUAGGAGGGCGACAUUUGGCACUGCCCCAGGCCCGAGGUUCCCUGCACCUAAUCUAACUUAAAGUCAGCUUCAUAGAAGUCCAUAACUUUGCCCACAGCCACAUUAGCAAUGACCUCUGCUAUUGUUUCCGCACAUUACUUUUCCUGCCCAUUCCUGAUCUUCUCACUUUUCAGUCUGCAGCACAUACUCUGGAGGUCCCAGCUGCUUCCUAUUUAUCCCAUCAAUGUCUUGAUUUGUAGUGCUGAAAACGCUGGGAACAAUUAGCAAAUUGGUGAUGCGCUGCCGCUCUGGAGUUGCUGGGCAACUGCAGCACCAGCAGACUCUCCAAGUCUCCGGAAGGGGGAUACAGAGACAAAAAGAUGAAAUUAACCCACUUUCUGUGACUUGGUUAGGAGACUAUAACGGCUGUCAAGUUAUAGAAAGCUUCUAUAAACCCAGCCCCAAAAUAAGCACUUUACUUACUCCACUUACAAGAAGGAACUAUGCAUAUAUAUCCAAGGUGAAGCAUGAGAUCUUUUUUCACAAUGGGAAAACAUUUACCACCCUUCAAAAUAUAAACUAAUAGCAAACUCCAAGCAUGUAUACUUUCGUAGCCAAAACAGCAGCAGCUACACAAAGGAGGGAGGUAUCAGCAGACUGUGAGGAGCCUGAAAUUUUGAACUGGUGCAAAAAAGGAGGGGACUAAUGGAGGA
Molecule: long non-coding RNA, 4524 nt
Filed under: Podarcis lilfordi (Lilford's wall lizard)
Lineage: Eukaryota; Metazoa; Chordata; Lepidosauria; Squamata; Lacertidae
Source: RNAcentral